AAUACGCGGAACGCGUUAGAACGUUUAUGUUUUUUUCACAAGCACAUUAAACAAAAUCAAUUUGAAAACGUUGAAGAAGAAAAAAUUUUUUUUUUUUGGUGAAAAAAAGGAUAAAGAAUUUAUUAUAAAAUAUUUGAAAAAAAAAGUCUAAACAAAGUGAUGAAAAUUUCUGCAAAAAAGUCCUUUAAACAGCUAGAAAUUUGAAUGAAAAAGAAACGCAGAAAAAAGAAGAAAAAAGUUUUAAAUUCCUAAGUUUUUAGCUAAAAUUUCUAGACAAAUCCAAAAACAAAAAAAAAAAAAUAUAUUUUUUUGUUGAAAACAAAAACACAGGAUUAAGAAGGUUUUUUUGCUAAAACUGAUUUUAAGUUGGAAUUUGCAGCCUCCUGUUUAGCCUGUUCAAAAAAAGGAUACAAAAAGUGAAAGGAUUUUUGUUGUUAUUGUUUAAAGCUUUGUUUGGUUAGAAAAAAAAAAUAGUAGAAAAAAUAAAUCUAAAAGAAUCUGCUGGGAUUCUAGUUCAAAAUCAAAGUGAAGAGUGUGAGUGUACGACUAACGUGUUAACGUGAGUGUGGACAUCGGUGUGUUGUCUUCGUUGUCGUCGGUAACGUUUAAUAUAGUUCGCAUGUGGUCUACUGGUCCAAGUUACAAUUUAUCUAUGAUUUUUGGUUAAAACAACUUCUAAAAAAAUAUUCUUCUUUUUUCCCCCAACUGCAGCAGUUAGUCUGAAAUUGUGUCUGAAAAAAAAGCUUUAGAAUUGUUAAGAUAAGUUCUGUUUUUGGUCUCUUCUUGUUCGUGAGUCUGUGUGUGUUUAAAAUUGUUGGUUAUUUUUGCUGCUGUUAACUGUUUAAGAAGAAAACAAACAAAUGAAAAAAAUAUUAAAAAAAUUAUUUUAAUUCUCUUCUACUGUUCAAUCAACUAGAAGUAAUCUAACUAUAAGAAUAGCAACAACAAAAGAAAGCAAAAAAGCCAGAAAACAUCCAAAUCAGUUCUAUCUCUCAACUUUACAAGGUUGUUAUACACACAAACACACUGUUUUUAACAGUUUAUUUGCAUUUUUUAUUGGAUAUUUUACGACUUAAUGAGGUUUAAAGGAAACG
Long non-coding RNA from Lucilia sericata (common green bottle fly), 1094 nucleotides. RefSeq lists it as uncharacterized. The transcript is spliced from 3 exons. The record is from RefSeq and is a predicted model, not a curated record. NCBI's taxonomy places the organism in Eukaryota, Metazoa, Arthropoda, Insecta, Diptera, Calliphoridae.